RNAcentral lists this ribosomal RNA (799 nucleotides) under Cellulomonas sp. RNAcentral describes it as "bacterial SSU rRNA". It matches the Rfam family "Bacterial small subunit ribosomal RNA", at positions 663 to 1460 of the family's 1533-position model. The record is from RNAcentral. Lineage: Bacteria; Bacillati; Actinomycetota; Actinomycetes; Micrococcales; Cellulomonadaceae.
GGAAUUCCUGGUGUAGCGGUGGAAUGCGCAGAUAUCAGGAGGAACACCGAUGGCGAAGGCAGGUCACUGGGCCGCAACUGACGCUGAGGAGCGAAAGCAUGGGGAGCGAACAGGAUUAGAUACCCUGGUAGUCCAUGCCGUAAACGUUGGGCACUAGGUGUGGGGCUCAUUCCACGAGUUCCGUGCCGCAGCAAACGCAUUAAGUGCCCCGCCUGGGGAGUACGGCCGCAAGGCUAAAACUCAAAGAAAUUGACGGGGGCCCGCACAAGCGGCGGAGCAUGCGGAUUAAUUCGAUGCAACGCGAAGAACCUUACCAAGGCUUGACAUACACCGGAAACUUCCAGAGAUGGUUGCCCCGCAAGGUCGGUGUACAGGUGGUGCAUGGUUGUCGUCAGCUCGUGUCGUGAGAUGUUGGGUUAAGUCCCGCAACGAGCGCAACCCUCGUCCCAUGUUGCCAGCGGGUUAUGCCGGGGACUCAUGGGAGACUGCCGGGGUCAACUCGGAGGAAGGUGGGGAUGACGUCAAAUCAUCAUGCCCCUUAUGUCUUGGGCUUCACGCAUGCUACAAUGGCCGGUACAAAGGGCUGCGAUACCGCGAGGUGGAGCGAAUCCCAAAAAGCCGGUCUCAGUUCGGAUUGGGGUCUGCAACUCGACCCCAUGAAGUCGGAGUCGCUAGUAAUCGCAGAUCAGCAACGCUGCGGUGAAUACGUUCCCGGGCCUUGUACACACCGCCCGUCAAGUCACGAAAGUCGGUAACACCCGAAGCCAGUGGCCCAACUCGUAAGAGGGGAGCUGUCGAC